CAGCAGCCGCGGUAAUACGAAGGGGGCUAGCGUUGUUCGGAUUUACUGGGCGUAAAGGGCGCGUAGGCGGACUGAUAAGUCAGGGGUGAAAUCCCAAGGCUCAACCUUGGAACUGCCUUUGAUACUGUCUGCCUUGAGUUCGAGAGAGGUAAGUGGAACUGCGAGUGUAGAGGUGAAAUUCGUAGAUAUUCGCAAGAACACCAGUGGCGAAGGCGGCUUACUGGCUCGAAACUGACGCUGAGGCGCGAAAGCGUGGGGAGCAAACAGGAUUAGAUACCCCAGUAGUCCCUGUCUCUUAUAC
This 301-nucleotide ribosomal RNA is filed under the name uncultured bacterium. Its description in RNAcentral is "partial 16S ribosomal RNA". It matches the Rfam family "Bacterial small subunit ribosomal RNA", at positions 509 to 807 of the family's 1533-position model. The record is from RNAcentral.